RNAcentral lists this ribosomal RNA (777 nucleotides) under uncultured Neocallimastigales. Its description in RNAcentral is "partial large subunit ribosomal RNA". It matches the Rfam family "Eukaryotic large subunit ribosomal RNA", at positions 24 to 646 of the family's 3401-position model. The record is from RNAcentral. Lineage: Eukaryota; Fungi; Neocallimastigomycota; Neocallimastigomycetes; Neocallimastigales.
UAUCUCUGUAGAGUCUGCAUAUCAAUAAGCGGAGGAAAAGAAACUAACAUAGGAUUCCCUCAGUAACGGCGAGUGAAGCGGGAAGAGCUCAAAUUUGAAAUCUUCAAGGUUCUACCUUGACGAAUUGUAGUUUAAAGAAGUGUUUUCUGUUGAAGUUUUGGUAAAAGUUCUUUGGAAUAGGACAUCAUAGAGGGUGAGAAUCCCGUAUUUGACCAUUAUUUCCAGCUGUGUGAUACACUUUCAAAGAGUCGGAUUGUUUGGGAAUGCAGUCCAAAAUGGGUGGUAAAUUUCAUCUAAAGCUAAAUAUUGGCGAGAGACCGAUAGCGAACAAGUACCGUGAGGGAAAGAUGAAAAGAACUUUGAAAAGAGAGUUAAACAGUACGUGAAAUUGUCAAAAGGGAAGCGUUUGACACCAGUGUUGUUUUCUCGAAAAUCAAUUAAAAAUGGCUUGAUUUUGUGUUGUAUUGACCUUUAUCAAGCUUUCUUCACUCUUUUCAUUGUCUUUUUUAAUGCACUUUUCGUUUAACAAGUCAACAUCAGUUUCUUUUGUUGUAAAAGGGUCAUUGGAAGGUGGCUUUCUUUUCGAAGAAAGUGUUUAUAGCCUUUGGCCUCUGCAAUCGGAGAGAUUGAGGUCUGCAGCGUAGAUCCUUCGGGGUUAGAUACAUUUGUGCUAAGUUAUAGCCUUUCAUAGACAACUUGUUGACUAUGAUCAGUCAUGUAGCUUACUCGCUUAUGCUAUUUUACCUACGCUAGGAUGUUGAUCUGUAGUGCGUGCGC